This is a long non-coding RNA of Homo sapiens (human), 744 nucleotides long. RefSeq lists it as uncharacterized. NCBI's taxonomy places the organism in Eukaryota, Metazoa, Chordata, Mammalia, Primates, Hominidae. The transcript has 3 exons. The record is from RefSeq and is a predicted model, not a curated record.
GCUUCCUGUCUUUUUCAAUAGUUUGCUCCUCAAAUCACAGCUCCUUUGGCGUCCUGAAACGCCAGACUUUGUCUCCUCUGACGUGUGAAACUCCUGCUUUCUUCUUGGGCUCUUUUCGCCUUCACCACAACUUGGAAAAUGCCCCCAGGAAAAUUCCGAGGUUCUCAGGGUGGCAGAUGAGGAAGAAGGUGGAGAACAGGAUAGAAAUGAAAUUUUGAGAAGGGAGUCCAGCCUAGAAGCUACUUAUGGGUAACUUACUGCUGCACCUGCUGCUGUUGCUGCUUUCUAUGGUAACCAUGAAGUACACACCAUGGGAGCUACCCACCUGUGCUCCAGAAGUUGCAAUACCGGAGAGGUGAUGGAGAGGAUGAGAUGCUCCCUGACCCUGCAUCAUAUUUCCUCACCUUGCAAGCCAAUGGCUGCUGAUGCUUUGAUAUUGCACAGAAUAAUGUAUGAAAAUAUCUCCAUCAGUGCCUUCCUGUAGUUCUUCUUUUCUGGUGCUUGAAUCCAUAGUAUUGGGGAGGUGGGCGUGGGUGAAUGGGUAGGGUAUGUAACAUUAACCCAGUCUGUCUUUUCCAAUCCAGUUUUGCUAUCAAUUCUUGAAACUUGUGUAUGUAGUUACAUACCCCAACAUUGUAUCAGAUAUGCUAUAUAUGUCUGAAUCAUAGUAGGUGAUCCAACUCAGUUGCAAAACUACCAGAUACAGAUGAAUAAAGGAUUCCAAAUUUCUCUCUACAUUUUCUC